GAACUAAAGAGUUUGAUCCUGGCUCAGAUUGAACGCUGGCGGUAUGCUUUACACAUGCAAGUCGAACGGCAGCAUAGGUGCUUGCACCUGAUGGCGAGUGGCGAACGGGUGAGUAAUGCAUCGGAACGUGCCCAGUCGUGGGGGAUAACGCAGCGAAAGCUGUGCUAAUACCGCAUACGAUCUAUGGAUGAAAGCGGGGGACCUUCGGGCCUCGCGCGAUUGGAGCGGCCGAUGUUAGAUUAGGUAGUUGGUGAGGUAAAGGCUCACCAAGCCUACGAUCUAUAGCUGGUCUGAGAGGACGACCAGCCACACUGGAACUGAGACACGGUCCAGACUCCUACGGGA
This 345-nucleotide ribosomal RNA is filed under the name Burkholderiaceae bacterium. RNAcentral describes it as "bacterial SSU rRNA". It matches the Rfam family "Bacterial small subunit ribosomal RNA", at positions 1 to 346 of the family's 1533-position model. The record is from RNAcentral. Lineage: Bacteria; Pseudomonadati; Pseudomonadota; Betaproteobacteria; Burkholderiales; Burkholderiaceae.